Molecule: ribosomal RNA, 1241 nt
Filed under: metagenome
Description: bacterial LSU rRNA
Rfam family: Bacterial large subunit ribosomal RNA
Source: RNAcentral
UGAGUACGAGAUGCUACGGCAUCGAAGCAGUCUAUGUCAUACUUCCAAGAAAAGCUUGCAAUGUCAUAAACAAAUAAUGCCUGUACCAUAACCGACACAGGUGGGUAGGUAGAGUAUACUAAGGGCGCGGGAUAACUCUCUCUAAGGAACUCGCAAAAUGACUCCGUAACUUCGGGAGAAGGAGUGCCUUAUUUUUAUAAGGUUGCAAUAACAAGAUCCAAGCAACUGUUUACCAAAAACACAGGUCUCCGCUAAGUCGUAAGACGAUGUAUGGGGGCUGACGCCUGCCCAGUGCCAGAAGGUUAAAGAAGUUGGUUAGCAUUAGCGAAGCUGAUAACUGAAGCCCUGGUGAACGGCGGCCGUAACGAUAACGGUCCUAAGGUAGCGAAAUUCCUUGUCGGGUAAGUUCCGACCCGCACGAAAGGCGUAAUGAUUUGGAUACUGUCUCGGAGAGGGGCUCGGUGAAAUAGACUUGUCUGUGAAGAUGCGGACUACCUGCACCUGGACAGAAAGACCCUAUGAAGCUUUACUGUAACUUGAGAUUGAGAUUGGACUUUAUCUGCGCAGUAUAGGUGGGAGACGUUGAAAAUAUUCUUGCGGGAAUAUUGGAGUCAUCAGUGAGAUACCACUCUUAUAAUGUUAGAUUUCUAACUUUAUAUCAUUAUCUGGUCAAAGAACAGUUUCAGGCGGGCAGUUUGACUGGGGCGGUCGCCUCCCAAACGGUAACGGAGGCGCACAAAGGUUUCCUCUGAACGUGUAGAAAUCGUAUCUAGAGUGUAAAGGCAUAAGGAAGCUUGACUGUGAGACCUACAAGUCGAGCAGGGACGAAAGUCGGUCUUAGUGAUCUGACGGUGCUGAGUGGAAAGGCCGUCACUCAACGGAUAAAAGUUACUCUAGGAUAACAGGCUGAUCUCCCCCAAGAGUUCACAUCGACGGGGAGGUUUGGCACCUCGAUGUCGGCUCAUCGCAUCCUGGGGCGGUAGUACGUCCCAAGGGUUGGGCUGUUCGCCCAUGAAAGCGGUACGCGAGCUGGGUUCAGAACGUCGUGAGACAGUUCGGUCCAUAUCCGGUGUAGGCGUUAGAAUAUUGAGAGGAGCCUUCUUUAGUACGAGAGGACCGAGAAGGACAUACCUCUGGUGUACCAGUUAUCGUGCCAACGGUAAACGCUGGGUAGCCAUGUAUGGAGAGGAUAACCGCUGAAAGCAUCUAAGUGGGAAGCCCACCUCAAGAUAAGUAUUCCC